This 1520-nucleotide ribosomal RNA is filed under the name Klebsiella pneumoniae. RNAcentral describes it as "bacterial SSU rRNA". It matches the Rfam family "Bacterial small subunit ribosomal RNA". Lineage: Bacteria; Pseudomonadati; Pseudomonadota; Gammaproteobacteria; Enterobacterales; Enterobacteriaceae. RNAcentral also lists the same sequence under 1 other name. The record is from RNAcentral.
AGAGUUUGAUCAUGGCUCAGAUUGAACGCUGGCGGCAGGCCUAACACAUGCAAGUCGAGCGGUAGCACAGAGAGCUUGCUCUCGGGUGACGAGCGGCGGACGGGUGAGUAAUGUCUGGGAAACUGCCUGAUGGAGGGGGAUAACUACUGGAAACGGUAGCUAAUACCGCAUAACGUCGCAAGACCAAAGUGGGGGACCUUCGGGCCUCAUGCCAUCAGAUGUGCCCAGAUGGGAUUAGCUAGUAGGUGGGGUAACGGCUCACCUAGGCGACGAUCCCUAGCUGGUCUGAGAGGAUGACCAGCCACACUGGAACUGAGACACGGUCCAGACUCCUACGGGAGGCAGCAGUGGGGAAUAUUGCACAAUGGGCGCAAGCCUGAUGCAGCCAUGCCGCGUGUGUGAAGAAGGCCUUCGGGUUGUAAAGCACUUUCAGCGGGGAGGAAGGCGAUAAGGUUAAUAACCUUGGCGAUUGACGUUACCCGCAGAAGAAGCACCGGCUAACUCCGUGCCAGCAGCCGCGGUAAUACGGAGGGUGCAAGCGUUAAUCGGAAUUACUGGGCGUAAAGCGCACGCAGGCGGUCUGUCAAGUCGGAUGUGAAAUCCCCGGGCUCAACCUGGGAACUGCAUUCGAAACUGGCAGGCUAGAGUCUUGUAGAGGGGGGUAGAAUUCCAGGUGUAGCGGUGAAAUGCGUAGAGAUCUGGAGGAAUACCGGUGGCGAAGGCGGCCCCCUGGACAAAGACUGACGCUCAGGUGCGAAAGCGUGGGGAGCAAACAGGAUUAGAUACCCUGGUAGUCCACGCCGUAAACGAUGUCGAUUUGGAGGUUGUGCCCUUGAGGCGUGGCUUCCGGAGCUAACGCGUUAAAUCGACCGCCUGGGGAGUACGGCCGCAAGGUUAAAACUCAAAUGAAUUGACGGGGGCCCGCACAAGCGGUGGAGCAUGUGGUUUAAUUCGAUGCAACGCGAAGAACCUUACCUGGUCUUGACAUCCACAGAACUUUCCAGAGAUGGAUUGGUGCCUUCGGGAACUGUGAGACAGGUGCUGCAUGGCUGUCGUCAGCUCGUGUUGUGAAAUGUUGGGUUAAGUCCCGCAACGAGCGCAACCCUUAUCCUUUGUUGCCAGCGGUCCGGCCGGGAACUCAAAGGAGACUGCCAGUGAUAAACUGGAGGAAGGUGGGGAUGACGUCAAGUCAUCAUGGCCCUUACGACCAGGGCUACACACGUGCUACAAUGGCAUAUACAAAGAGAAGCGACCUCGCGAGAGCAAGCGGACCUCAUAAAGUAUGUCGUAGUCCGGAUUGGAGUCUGCAACUCGACUCCAUGAAGUCGGAAUCGCUAGUAAUCGUAGAUCAGAAUGCUACGGUGAAUACGUUCCCGGGCCUUGUACACACCGCCCGUCACACCAUGGGAGUGGGUUGCAAAAGAAGUAGGUAGCUUAACCUUCGGGAGGGCGCUUACCACUUUGUGAUUCAUGACUGGGGUGAAGUCGUAACAAGGUAACCGUAGGGGAACCUGCGGUUG